GGGCCCGCGAGGCUCUGGACUCACGUUUGAAUUUGUGGCGCGUAGUGUCCGAGGUGCGGAGUGGAGCUGGGCGUCUUGCUGGAGUCAGCAACUGGGCGGUGAGAGACCCUGAGCGGAGAAUGACCAGAGGGUCGGCCGGCGCUGGAGGGGCCCCGAGUCCAACAGGCCUCCUCGGAAUGCGGCACUUCCACCGCGCUGCUUCCCUCGCCUGAGGCAGGUCCUCUGCUCGCCUCCUCGCAGCCUCUAGAUUCUUCCCUCGCGCCGUUUUCCUCGCGUCUGAGAGACUGUGCGCCCGCCCGCUUCUGUCACCCCCGAAGGAAGGCUGCUCCUAACGCUACCUUCCGGGGUCUCUCCGCUUCCAUCCCUCCCCAGAAGCAGCCCUCCAGCGCUGACGUGUUUACGUCUCCCCCCACUAUCCUGCGCCCCCCCAUCUCUGUCAUAAUUACAGCCUCCUUCCAUCACCAACACUCUCAGAAACUUUCUCCCUGCCUCUGACUGUGGAAAAAUGUCUCCUGAGCAACCUGGUGAGCGUCCCACACCUCAGAGUCCAGAACGUUCCUCAUCAAGAAAGAGGGUGCUGCGGUCCUCCCCUUCCCGCCUGGGACGUAGCGAGGGCACGUGGAAAGCAGCGCGUGAAAGCGCUUUGCAAAGCGGUACGGAAAUGAGGUAUUGUCUCCAUUUUACAAAUGAGGAACCUGAAGCUCAGAGAGAGUUCCAAAGGAAACCUCAAGUCCGGUAUAAGCAAAACAAUUCAUGAACAAAAUGGCUGUGAGCACAUUUCAUUUGCAAGACAGCACUAGAGGGCGCUCUUCAGCAGGUCUCAAGAUUAAGAAGCAAUAUCCUGAGAUACAUCUUUCUCUGAUAGAAAUUUUGUCUUGGGAAAAGCUUUGACCAGAUCGUAGUGACAGAAAUGAGAGGCUGGGCCAGUCUUUGGCGCCUGCCCUUGGCUCAGCGCCCGGUGCCAACAGAACACCUUUCAGGAUCCACAGCAACGCAGACAACGAGUCCAGGAUCCCGGCCUCUGCUUGGAACGGAACAGUGUCAUGGCGGAGACGACGGCCUUUGUCUUGCUGGGUGUGAAAGCAUCCGCUUUGCAGGCUCCACUGCGGCAGAAUCAAGUUUAAAGGAAAAAGUGAUUAAAGUCAGCUUUGUGCCUCUUUGGUGUGGAAGACCCCCAAACCCCAAGUAGCCGAGUCCCUGGGUCCGAGGAAGGGCUCAUAGUUGGAGCAGCCUAGGCUGUAAUCCUGGCACUUGCGCCUUCGGUUGCUGCUUGCUGUUCGCUCCUGGGGGUCUGGAUAAUCUCCCUUGGCUUUACCGCACUGUCUGGCCCGCAUACAGGGCCCCCGUAACAUAUACCCGCUGCUGCUAUCGCACGAAACUGUGGCGUUGCCCCUGAAUGGAUGGCACUGUGCCAACUCUUCUGCCAUCCGCCCUUGCAGCUUUUUUCUUUCCUGCCUCCCUCCCCUUCUUCUCCUCCUCCUCCCGUCGACUUGACGUUAAUUAACACACGGGUUAAUUGAUUUUAAAAGCCGAAGAAUUACAGUUAACUUUUCCCACAG
This 1559-nucleotide long non-coding RNA is filed under the name Equus asinus (donkey). RNAcentral's name for it is "lncRNA (ENSEASG00005033711.1)". Lineage: Eukaryota; Metazoa; Chordata; Mammalia; Perissodactyla; Equidae. The record is from RNAcentral.